Molecule: ribosomal RNA, 303 nt
Filed under: uncultured bacterium
Lineage: Bacteria
Description: partial 16S ribosomal RNA
Rfam family: Bacterial small subunit ribosomal RNA
Source: RNAcentral
AGCAGUAGCCGCGGGAAUACGGAGGGUGCGAGCGUUAAUCGGAAUUACUGGGCGUAAAGCGUACGCAGGCGGUUUGUUAAGUCAGAUGUGAAAUCCCCGAGCUUAACUCGGGAACUGCAUUUGAAACUGGCAGGCUAGAGUCUCGUAGAGGGGGGUAGAAUUCCAGGUGUAGCGGUGAAAUGCGUAGAGAUCUGGAGGAAUACCGGUGGCGAAGGCGGCCCCCUGGACGAAGACUGACGCUCAGGUACGAAAGCGUGGGGAGCAAACAGGAUUAGAUACCCGCGUAGUCCCUGUCUCUUAUAC